CACCAGUGGGGAAUUUUGGACAAUGGGGGCAACCCUGAUCCAGCAAUGCCGCGUGAGUGAAGAAGGCCUUCGGGUUGUAAAGCUCUUUUGUCAGGGAAGAAACAGCAGCUCUAACACAGUCUGCGAAUGACGGUACCUGAAGAAUAAGCACCGGCUAACUACGUGCCAGCAGCCGCGGUAAUACGUAGGGUGCAAGCGUUAAUCGGAAUUACUGGGCGUAAAGCGUGCGCAGGCGGUUAUGUAAGACAGGCGUGAAAUCCCCGGGCUUAACCUGGGAAUUGCGCUUGUGACUGCAUAGCUAGAGUAUGUCAGAGGGGGGUAGAAUUCCACGUGUAGCAGUGAAAUGCGUAGAGAUGUGGAGGAAUACCAAUGGCGAAGGCAGCCCCCUGGGACAAUACUGACGCUCAUGCACGAAAGCGUGGGGAGCAAACAGGAUUAGAUACCCCGGUAGUCCGGUC
RNAcentral lists this ribosomal RNA (458 nucleotides) under beta proteobacterium SCGC AAA027-L10. Its description in RNAcentral is "bacterial SSU rRNA". It matches the Rfam family "Bacterial small subunit ribosomal RNA", at positions 349 to 800 of the family's 1533-position model. The record is from RNAcentral. Lineage: Bacteria; Pseudomonadati; Pseudomonadota; Betaproteobacteria.